RNAcentral lists this ribosomal RNA (673 nucleotides) under uncultured bacterium. RNAcentral's name for it is "bacterial SSU rRNA". It matches the Rfam family "Bacterial small subunit ribosomal RNA", at positions 62 to 736 of the family's 1533-position model. The record is from RNAcentral.
UCGAGCGAUGAUUCGCCUCUUCGGAGGUGAUGAUUAGCGGCGGACGGGUGAGUAACACGUGGGUAACCUACCUCAAAGAGGGGAAUAGCCUCCCGAAAGGGAGAUUAAUACCGCAUAAUAUGUUUUGGUCGCAUGACUGAGACAUCAAAGGAAUUUUCUUCGGAUUAUUCCACUUUGAGAUGGACCCGCGGCGCAUUAGCUAGUUGGUGAGGUAACGGCCCACCAAGGCGACGAUGCGUAGCCGACCUGAGAGGGUGAUCGGCCACAUUGGAACUGAGACACGGUCCAGACUCCUACGGGAGGCAGCAGUGGGGAAUAUUGCGCAAUGGGGGAAACCCUGACGCAGCAACGCCGCGUGAAUGAUGAAGGCCUUCGGGUUGUAAAGUUCUGUCUUCUGGGACGAUAAUGACGGUACCAGAGGAGGAAGCCACGGCUAACUACGUGCCAGCAGCCGCGGUAAUACGUAGGUGGCAAGCGUUGUCCGGAUUUACUGGGCGUAAAGGAUGCGUAGGCGGACAUUUAAGUCAGAUGUGAAAUACCCGAGCUUAACUUGGGUGCUGCAUUUGAAACUGGGUGUCUAGAGUGCAGGAGAGGUAAGUGGAAUUCCUAGUGUAGCGGUGAAAUGCGUAGAGAUUAGGAAGAACACCAGUGGCGAAGGCGACUUACUGGACUG